This 424-nucleotide ribosomal RNA is filed under the name Verrucomicrobiota bacterium. RNAcentral describes it as "Verrucomicrobia bacterium partial 16S ribosomal RNA". It matches the Rfam family "Bacterial small subunit ribosomal RNA", at positions 355 to 776 of the family's 1533-position model. Lineage: Bacteria; Pseudomonadati; Verrucomicrobiota. The record is from RNAcentral.
UGAGGAAUAUUGGUCAAUGGACGCAAGUCUGAACCAGCCAAGUAGCGUGCAGGAUGACGGCCCUAUGGGUUGUAAACUGCUUUUAUAUGGGGAUAAAGUGGGAAACGUGUUCCCUUUUGCAGGUACCAUAUGAAUAAGGACCGGCUAAUUCCGUGCCAGCAGCCGCGGUAAUACGGAAGGUUCGGGCGUUAUCAGGAUUUAUUGGGUUUAAAGGGAGCGUAGGCCGUUUGGUAAGCGUGUUGUGAAAUGUAGGAGCUCAACUUCUAGAUUGCAGCGCGAACUGUCAGACUUGAGUGCGCACAUCGUAGGCGGAAUUCAUGGUGUAGCGGUGAAAUGCUUAGAUAUCCUGAAGAACUCCGAUUGCGAAGGCAGCUUACGGGAGCGCAACUGACGCUGAAGCUCGAAGGUGCGGGUAUCGAACAGG